RNAcentral lists this small nuclear RNA (194 nucleotides) under Ascosphaera apis ARSEF 7405. RNAcentral describes it as "U2 spliceosomal RNA". It matches the Rfam family "U2 spliceosomal RNA". Rfam says of the family: U2 is a small nuclear RNA (snRNA) component of the spliceosome (involved in pre-mRNA splicing). Complementary binding between U2 snRNA (in an area lying towards the 5' end but 3' to hairpin I) and the branchpoint sequence (BPS) of the intron results the bulging out of an unpaired adenosine, on the BPS, which initiates a nucleophilic attack at the intronic 5' splice site, thus starting the first of two transesterification reactions that mediate splicing. The record is from Rfam by way of RNAcentral. Lineage: Eukaryota; Fungi; Ascomycota; Eurotiomycetes; Onygenales; Ascosphaeraceae.
CCAGCUCUCUUUGCCGUAAGGCUAAGAUCAAGUGUAGUAUCUGUUCUUUUCAGUUUAAUCUCUGAAAGUAUUCCACUGGAAUACAACAUUGAUUAAUCUCAUUUUUGGUCCCCGUGGGAAUUCCUCUGUGCUUGCACAUGUAUUCCCGCACUGUGUCACUGGUCUUACACUGUCACCAGUAGACGCGAACUCAU